UCAGCCGCCGCGGUAAAACCAGCACCUCGAGUGGUCAGGAGGUUUAUUGGGCCUAAAGCAACCGUAGCCGGUUGUUUAAGUUUUCGGUUAAAUCUAUGCGCUUAACGUAUAGGCUGCCGAAAAUACUGGACAGCUAGGGAGUGGGAGAGGUACACGGUACUCAAUAGGAAGGGGUAAAAUCCUUUGAUCUGUUGAUGACCACCUGUGGCGAAGGCGGUGUACCAGAACACGUUCGACGGUGAGGGAUGAAAGCUGGGGGAGCAAACCGGAUUAGAUACCCGGGUAGUCCCAGCUGUAAACGAUGCAAACUCGGUGAUGCAUUGGCUUGUGGCCAAUGCAGUGCCGCAGGGAAGCCGUUAAGUUUGCCGCCUGGGAAGUACGUACGCAAGUAUGAAACUUAAAGGAAUUGGCGGGGGAGCACA
Molecule: ribosomal RNA, 422 nt
Filed under: uncultured archaeon
Lineage: Archaea
Description: bacterial SSU rRNA
Rfam family: Archaeal small subunit ribosomal RNA
Source: RNAcentral